This is a long non-coding RNA of Danio aesculapii, 246 nucleotides long. RefSeq lists it as uncharacterized. The record is from RefSeq and is a predicted model, not a curated record. Lineage: Eukaryota; Metazoa; Chordata; Actinopteri; Cypriniformes; Danionidae. The transcript has 3 exons.
GUGCGAAAAGAUGUCUGUGUGUACAAUAACACUGAGUACAAGGUUGGCAUCUAUUAUUUCACAUGUAAAACUUUGAACUGUCGUCAAGUUAAUGGCUCAUUUGUGACAGAGAUGACCACAACUCCGUGUCCUUACAUGAGUUCACAGGACUGUGGGCCUGGCUCUGAUUAUGUGAAAAAAUCAGAAGAUUGUUGUGGAACAUGUGUGCAAACAAAAUGUACUUACAUGAAAGACAACACCACAUAC